CCCGAGUACCGCAAGGCGGAAGUAGUUUCCAGGCGUUUCGCUCAGGACCCGGGCAGGCAUAAAGUUUGUACUGCCCUCGCGCGUUGCCAAGGAUCUUUGCAAAGCGUCAGUCUCAUUCAUCACAUGCUUCAUGAGUUGGUGAAAGUCUCUGUGGCAAACCCAGCACCUUUUUGUUUGAGAUGUCACCAGUGUGCCAGAGGAACCCCUCCAAAGGCGCAGUGAGAAAGAAUGGAUCUGGAGGCUUCAUGCAGACAGCUUGAAUUCUCAGUUCCCUCCAGCAGGUGAAUGUCAGAAUCUGCCCUCAACAGAGCCGAGCCAGCCACUGGGAACACACAGGCAAGACCAGCCACCUCAUUCACCAUGUAUGCACCGCAUCCACCCACCUCUGAAGUUACAGCCUCCCUCCGAUUGCAGAAAACAUUCCUUGCACCACUUCAAGAUCAUUCACAAGCUGCAGCUCUUCCCAUGCCACCUCCACAGACAUCAAGGAGUUUUCAGGGUAAAGUGCUGUAUUUAUCGUAUUGCUCAUCUAUUUCUUGACCACAUAAUAUAUGUAAAACUAUGUUACUGUUUUUAUUAAGUUAUUGUCUUAUUUUUUGAAUGUGUCACUGAAGAAGGUUUUUUUUUUAACCUCGUUUUUGCCAUAAGUUGUGUGGUUUGGAUUGUGUGAUUUUACAUAGCACAGAGCUCUUUUAAGAACACAUUAUAGCAGAACUGGUUGUAUUUCUUGCAAAUUGGCAGCUGGGUCCAGAAUCAUCAGACUCACAUUCUUCCCUUUGGUAGUAUGUUCUCUCAACCGAAGGUGCCUACUGUCUCAUUUCUGUGAAGGUAGUGGAUACCCAGGCAGUUAAUGCCUCCAUCCAUCAUUUCAUUAAGGGCAGCAAAAUGGCGAUAUUCAAUUAAUCCUUUUCAUUAUUAAUUGGAAUACUUUAUAAGGAAAUGUCUCCCCUUAUCUAUGAUUUUGGACACUUCCUAUAGGAAAGGCAAGAUGAAUGCUUGAUUCUUUCCCUCUAUUUAUUAGUUUUCAAGAUAAUAAAUUCAUUUCCUAUCAUCCCCCCAAAAGGUAAGCAAGUAGGCUUUAUUUUAUAAUAUCAUUAUGAACUCAUGAAUUUAAAAUAUUUGUUGGGUUUCAAUCUAUUGCAAUUACUAUUCAAAUUACUCCAUCUUUGGCCAGUGAGGGACUCUUCACUUUGGUUCCUGAGACCUUUGACAUGACCCCAGUAAAUCUUUAAUAGCACCCUUGGCUCUCUGAUGAUAGCAUGACUGAACAUGAGGUUCCAGGCUCAUUUUGUCAUUUCCUGUCUCAGAACUGGAGUCUGCCAUUUGUUCCAAAGGCCCUGGUUUCUUUAAGCAAGAAAUUAUUUUUGAAAACAACAAUCUAUUCCUGGGAGUAUAUGUAGUGGGCUCGUCACUGCUUGUAGACAAAUCCCGAGGGCAGAACUAUAGAUAUAGAUACAGAGAUAUGAUACUUCUUGAGUGUUAAGUCCUAUUUCCAAUUCAAAUUCAGGACUAUGGAAUACUUUACUUAUUAACCUCUAUCCUAUUUCAUCUGUUAUCUCCUCUUUCCACAUUGAAGAUUCUAAUUCUCAAGGAUGCAGGAAGAUAAAAUUAGAAUAUCUCACAAUUACUUUUUUUCCUACAUUAUAUAUACAACACUCUCAGAAUAUUAAUACCAUCACCAGUAAAAAUUACUGAGAACAGUUCAGAAUUUUCUAUAUAUUAUCCCCAUUUCUUUCAAUUUUUUAAAAAUUGUUAGACUAAGCAUACCAUCAUUAUAUGUCAUACUCUCACUCUUUGAUCCUCAUCGCAUUUCAGUUCUUUAAGUAACUGCAUGAUUAAUGCUCACUGCCGGUUCUUCUGUCAGGGUCCCUCUGUAAUUCGUUUGUGUGAAACGCAUUCUACAGUCACUGAUUCCUCAGCAAGGACUCGCGGCAAGACUGUUCCCUCAAGUUUUCUGUGUUGAUAUCUCUGUGUGCCCUUUAUCAACUUCAGUUUGACUGGAUAUAAGAUCCCCAGCUCACAUUUCAUUUCCUUGAACAUCAUAAAUACCUUACUCUAUUUUCUUCUGGCAUAAGAGUAUGAUGAUAAUGUACUUUUCUUUCCCUCGUAAAUCACUUGCUGUUUUUGCCUACCUGCCCAAAGGAUUUUUUUUUCUUUUUCUUUAAUUUCUAAUAACGUUUGUAAAAUAUGUCUAGUGUUGCUGUUAUGGUUUAGUAUUGUCAGGUAGCUGUGUGCUGUUUCAGUACCUAGUUUCAAGUUUUUAGGCAACUGUUUUUUUACACGAGGUAUAAACAUGCAAUAAAAUGUAUAUAUCUGGAGUUCCCAUCAUAGCUCAGUGGUUAACGAAUCUGACUGGGAAC
Molecule: non-coding RNA, 2360 nt
Organism: Sus scrofa (pig)
Lineage: Eukaryota; Metazoa; Chordata; Mammalia; Artiodactyla; Suidae
Source: RefSeq, a predicted model, not a curated record